Molecule: ribosomal RNA, 353 nt
Filed under: Hydrodytes opalinus
Lineage: Eukaryota; Metazoa; Arthropoda; Insecta; Coleoptera; Dytiscidae
Description: partial 12S ribosomal RNA
Source: RNAcentral
UAUAAAUGUAAAUUUAAAUAUUAAAGUAGUAUUAGUUAUGAUCUUGAAAUUUAAAAAAUUUGGCGGUAUUUUAGUCUAUUCAGAGGAACCUGUUCUAUAAUUGAUAGUCCACGAUUAAUUAUACUUUAUUUAUUUAGUUUAUAUAUCGUCGUUAUUAAAUAUUUUAUAAGAAUUAUAAUAUUUAAUAUUUUAAAUUAAAAUAUAUAUCAGAUCAAGGUGUAGUUUAUAAUAAAGAAGAAAUGGGUUACAAUAAAAUUAUUUAUUAAUGAAUUAAUUUAUGAAAAUAAUUAUGAAGGAGGAUUUGAUAGUAAUAUAAUUAAAUUAAAUUAUAUGAUUUUAGCUCUAAAAUAUGU